RNAcentral lists this small RNA (493 nucleotides) under Pongo abelii (Sumatran orangutan). RNAcentral's name for it is "processed transcript". Lineage: Eukaryota; Metazoa; Chordata; Mammalia; Primates; Hominidae. The record is from RNAcentral.
AAGUCCAUGGAUACUCCAAUAAAGCACAGGCAUAGGUGCCACUGAUCCAGCAGAGGCAGCCACAAACCACAGGCCCUGGUCAGCUGUUGCCAGCAAACCGCAAUACACCGAGUCCCAUUGAUCCUGACACCAUCCAGGUCCCAGUGGGUUAUGAGCCAGACCCAGCAGAUCUUGCCCUCUCCAGCAUCCCUGGCCAGGAAAUGUUUGACCCUCGCAAACGCAAGUUCUCUGAGGAAGAACUGAAGCCACAGCCCAUGAUCAAGAAAGCUCGCAAAGUCUUCAUCCCUGAUGACCUGAAGGAUGACAAGUACUGGGCAAGGCGCAGAAAGAACAACAUGGCAGCCAAGCGCUCCCGUGACGCCCGGAGGCUGAAGGAGAACCAGAUCGCCAUCCGGGCCUCGUUCCUGGAGAAGGAGAACUCGGCCCUCCGCCAGGAGGUGGCUGACUUGAGGAAGGAGCUGGGCAAAUGCAAGAACAUACUUGCCAAGUAUGA